RNAcentral lists this ribosomal RNA (253 nucleotides) under uncultured bacterium. Its description in RNAcentral is "partial 16S ribosomal RNA". It matches the Rfam family "Bacterial small subunit ribosomal RNA", at positions 524 to 776 of the family's 1533-position model. The record is from RNAcentral.
UACAGAGGGGGCAAGCGUUAUUCGGAAUUAUUGGGCGUAAAGGGCGUGUAGGCGGCCUGGCAAGUGGAAGGUGAAAUCCCUCGGCUUAACCGAGGAACUGCCCUCCAAACUGCUUGGCUUGAGUCCGGGAGAGGUGAGUGGAAUUCCCAGUGUAGCGGUGAAAUGCGUAGAUAUUGGGAGGAACACCAGUGGCGAAGGCGGCUCACUGGACCGGAACUGACGCUGAGGCGCGAAAGCGUGGGGAGCAAACAGG